Molecule: transfer RNA, 230 nt
Filed under: Microcaldota archaeon
Lineage: Archaea; Nanobdellati; Microcaldota
Description: tRNA-Leu
Source: RNAcentral
GCGGGGGUGGCAGAGCUUGGUCAAAAGCCGCUUUCCCGUUUUGGGAAAUCGGCAGGUUUGUUCUUGGUUUCGGUUGAAGAAAAGGUCCUCAACCGCCCGAAAGGCGGCACAGAACCCUUCCGACGAAGAAGAAAAAACAAUCUGACCAAAUGCGCAGGCUUGAGGUGCCUGUACCUUAGCGGUUGCGAGGGUUCAAAACGACCGAAGUCGUGAAAAUCCCUUCCCCCGCA